AUGGAGAAAGUGUUGGAGUGUGCAUUCAUAGUCUUGUGGCUUCAGCUUGGCUGGUUGAGUGGAGAAGACGAGGUGAUGCAAAGUCCUGAGGCCCUGAGACUCCAGGAGGGAGAAAAUAGCAGUCUCAUCUGCAGUUACACAGUCAGCAGUUUAAGAGGGCUGCUCUGGUAUAGGCAAGAUCCUGGGAAAGGCCCUGAAUUCCUCUUCAUCCUGUAUUCAGCUGGGGAAGAAAAGGAGAAAGAAAGGCUAAAAGCCACAUUAACAAAGGAGGAAAGCUUUCUGCACAUCACAGCCCCUAAACCUGAAGACUCAGCCACUUACCUCUGUGCUGUGCAGGCACAGUGUUCCCCAGGCACCUGCAACUUGUAACAAAACCCUGCAGCUGGGGAUCUGGAAUAAGGGCAGAGGCAUCUCUGCUGUUCUUCCUCUUGAAGGAGUAUUUAUUU
Non-coding RNA from Symphalangus syndactylus (siamang), 446 nucleotides. The record is from the annotation of a RefSeq genome assembly. Lineage: Eukaryota; Metazoa; Chordata; Mammalia; Primates; Hylobatidae.